GAUGAACGCUGGCGGAAUGCUUUACACAUGCAAGUCGAACGGCAGCACGGGGGCAACCCUGGUGGCGAGUGGCGAACGGGUGAGUAAUACAUCGGAACGUGCCCAAUCGUGGGGGGAUAACGUAGCGAAAGCUACGCUAAUACCGCAUACGAUCUACGGAUGAAAGCGGGGGGAUCGCAAGACCUCGCGCGAUUGGAGCGGCCGAUGGCAGAUUAGGUAGUUGGUGAGGUAAAGGCUCACCAAGCCUUCGAUCUGUAGCUGGUCUGAGAGGACGACCAGCCACACUGGGACUGAGACACGGCCCAGACUCCUACGGGAGGCAGCAGUGGGGAAUUUUGGACAAUGGGCGAAAGCCUGAUCCAGCCAUUCCGCGUGCAGGAUGAAGGCCCUCGGGUUGUAAACUGCUUUUGUACGGAACGAAACGCGUCGAGUUAAUACCUUGACGUAAUGACGGUACCGUAAGAAUAAGCACCGGCUAACUACGUGCCAGCAGCCGCGGUAUCUCG
Molecule: ribosomal RNA, 506 nt
Filed under: uncultured bacterium
Lineage: Bacteria
Description: bacterial SSU rRNA
Rfam family: Bacterial small subunit ribosomal RNA
Source: RNAcentral